Molecule: long non-coding RNA, 1018 nt
Organism: Trichechus manatus latirostris (Florida manatee)
Lineage: Eukaryota; Metazoa; Chordata; Mammalia; Sirenia; Trichechidae
Exons: 5
Source: RefSeq, a predicted model, not a curated record
AGUGUUCUAUAUAUGUCUUUGAGGUCAAGUUGGCUGAUCUGUUCUGUUUAAUUUUUCUUUAACUUAUAUCUUGAUGACCAGCCGGAAAUCAGAACCUCCUGGACUGGCAAGCGCCUGCACUGUCUGUCAUGCUGGCUGUUUGCACAUGGAUGAGGAAAGGUCAUGUACUGUGAAGCAUUUACAGAUGAGUCUGUUAAAUCUCAGCCCGCCAUAGGUGUACGCUGGGCCUUCAGCGGUUACGUAACCGAUUGUGCAACUGCAGCGUGAGGUAAUGCGGUUUGUCCUUUACAAGGAGGAGUUUUCUGGAAAAGAGCCCUGAAGAGAGUAAAGGUAUGCCUUCCCUCUUUCUGAGACCUGGGGCCACGAAGGGAACCUGAUGACAGAAGGUGCUUCCGUAUCACGCCGAGCAGUCCGCCUGGGCCGUCUCAGGAACCAUCCUGGAAGCCUUUGUGCCUCUUCAGUCUGGCCACAUGCCAGGCUCUGACGAUGCCUGCUCAUGGAUGCAGCUCAUGGAAUCCUCAUGACAUCCCUGCGUGGGAGGUGACAUUGUUCUCCUCUUAGGGAGAAGAGACACAGUGACUGACAGAGAAAGAUGGUCUCGUGACAACAGAGACAGGUGUCCUGUAAGCCAAGGACCACCAAGGAUUGCCAGCCAUCACCAGAAGCUAGGAGAGAGGAAGGGAGUUCUUCCCUGGGGAUUUCUGCCUACAUCUCAUUGUCCAAAACUGUGUCAUGUGACCACGCCUAGCUGCAAAGGAGGCUUGGAAUUCUAGUAUUCCACUCUCCAGUGCCUUGGAUUGAGAAAGACAGAGGAGAAGAGGGUUGAAAUGAGUGUGGGAGAAGAACGUGGUUGGAGCUUCUGGAGGAGGUGCUCAGCUGCACUGAGUUGGCACUGAGGUUUUCUGGAAAUGUGGCAGACAGUGGUGAGUGGGGCAAAGGCUGACAGGGCAAGAUAAACAGACCUAGUAGAUUAUAAGGAGUCCCUGGGUGGCACAAAUAGUUAAACAUUUGACUACUU